Molecule: transfer RNA, 82 nt
Filed under: Ipomoea nil (Japanese morning glory)
Lineage: Eukaryota; Viridiplantae; Streptophyta; Magnoliopsida; Solanales; Convolvulaceae
Rfam family: tRNA
About the family: Transfer RNA (tRNA) molecules are approximately 80 nucleotides in length.
Source: Rfam by way of RNAcentral
GUCAAUAUAUUUGAGUGGUUAAGGAGAUAGACUUGAAAUCUAUUAGGUUUUGCUUGCGCAGGUUCGAAUUUUGCUGUUGACG